UAAUAGCCCUUGGAUGCAUUUGAACGGCUCAUAUUAAAAUCCUUGUAAACUCGUGCACCAAAAAAAAAUGCAAAAGAUUCUUCACAAACAUAGGAAAAGUUGUUGGAGUAAUUGGAUAACCAACAUUCGAGGCAACGCGCCAUAUAUGCGCAAUUAUCAUUUACUUGCCAACAUUUAAGCUCUUCCAAACCAACCACUUGAGCAUAUAAGUAACUAGCAAGAAGUGCCCAUGCUAUGCUGCAUGUUUUAGAAUUGUGUAAAAUAUGUAGAUAGUUAUAAAUAUAUACGAUAGGCAAUAUUAUUUACGUACAUAUAGAAAUUUACUUACAACCCUAUUUACAAUAAGAAACAAAAUAGGAAAGAAUUUUGUCCUAUCUACAUAGUACUUACAACCUUAUUUAAUCAUUGAGCAUAUGUUUGUCACACGUGAUGGACUGUUGAUAAGAUUAUCUCUUAUGUAUCAACAGAAUUAACCAAACAAAUACGAGAAUUCAAGAAUUUUAAAUUAAGUUACAACAGCAACAAAUUUGUUGUUAAGGUUUUCUUUGUAACAUCUCACAUGGCCCAGAGGUGUGGAUCUUGUAAGCCUUAUAUGUAUAUUCUCAUCUCUACCUAGCACGAGGCCUUUUGGGAGCUCAUUGGCUUCGGGUUCCAUCGGAACUUCGAAAUUCAGCGAGUUCGCAAGAGAGCCAUCCUAUGAUGGGUGACCCACUGAGAAGUUCUCAUGUGAGUUCCCAAAAACAAAAUCGUGAGGGCGUGGUCGAGGCCCAAAGCGGACAAUAUCGUGCUACGAUGGAGUCGAGCCCGGGAUGUGGUCGGGGCUCAGGCCGGGAUGUGACAAUUUGGUAUCAUAGCCAAUCCUUGGCCGAAUGUGUGCCGACGAGAACUUCGGGCCCCUAAGGGGGGUGGAUUGUAACAUCUCACAUCUCCCAUGGGUGUGGAUCAUGUAAGCCUUAUAUGUAUAUUCUCAUCUUUACCUAGCGUGAGGCCUUUUGGGAGCUCAUUGGCUUCUGAUGCGAAAUAUAUAAGCACACAAAUUAAACCCUCUUUUUAUCAAUUGUAGCAAAGUAUGUAAGUAGGGAUCGUUCUAGGCCGGGGAUUAGGAGGGGUUGCUAAAUCACUUCAAAACUGACUCAAAACGUAAAAACAAAGUUUAAAACACUAAACUAGACUCAAAGAAUGCAAAACUAAACUCUAAAACACUAAAACAAACCAAAAGACUCCAAACAGCCCAGAAACACUCAAAACUGCCUUAAAAACACUUUCUGGGCCGUUUUGAACACAAAACACAAUUUGGACGAAAAUAGGUUAUAACUUGACUCAAGACACUUAAAACACAAACUAAAUUGAUUUCUAACUAAUCUAACACUUUAAAAUAAAUGGGGAUUGAGUUUUGAUGAAAAUUGAAAACAAAAACAAAACUUUGUAAUUUGAACAGAUUCUAAAACGAAUUUGGUUAAAUUGAAUGGAUGGAAACCUAGCUAAGGGGUUCUUCUCCACACAUGUCACACUUGCAUACGAAACAAUUUCCAAUUGCUUUUCAAUAAACCAUGAAUUCCCAACACCCCAGAUUAACCGUGAAUUGCACUAAUUAACCCUCAGAUUUUCCUAAAGUUAUCGAAUUGGAUGAAUUGCAUACGAUAACCCAAAGCAUUCCUCACAAGUUCCCUGCAUGAAUUGCAUAACAAAGAUAGAAGCAAAGAUCAUUAAGUUCUAUGAAAAUCAUAAGCAUUGGCGAGGCACUCGUUACUAUGAAUUGCAUGAAACUUAUGCCAAGAAUUUACUUAACAUGAUUGUGAUCAACAACCUUUACUACUUUAGAAUAUAAGUUCGUAACGAUUAGGUGAAAUUCCCUUAUAUCCUAGCAUCAAACUUAUGCAUAAAAAUUAAGCGUGCACUCUCAACCAACGCACACAAAUCAGUUUUAAUUCAUAUAGAUAAGUAAAUUGAAUUCACAACUUAUGAAAUGCAAUUAGAAGUAAUCAAAUCAUAUAGCAAGCAUAAACAUGGUUUCGAAUCCCCCCCCCUAGCCAAGGGGGAGUCUAGUUCCUCAUACGCACAAAGCAAAGAUAAAUAAGUUUAAACAUUGAAAUCCAAGGAAAGAGAACACCUAAAACGCUCCAACUUCGCAGCAGGUGCAUCCACGAUUCCUCCUUCCUCCUUGCUGCGACACAGAGACUUUGGACAGGUUUUUGGGUUAUUAAAUGGUGUAGAAUGGAUGGGGGAUGUAUGGUGGUGUUUAGGAUGGAUGGGUGGUGCGGCAAGGGGUGAUUUUUGGCAGAAAUUUGGGACAAUGGUAGUGGAAGGUUGCGGCAAAGGUAGGGGAUGAAUUUCUAGCCUGAAUUGUUGUGUAUGAGAGGUGGUAAUUCAGCCAAGGGGUGAAUGAGAGUAUAUAUAGGCACUUAAAACCCUAGGGUAAUCAGAUAUGGACUUGGAUAACCGAAAUCCACAAGGAAAAAGGUUUAAACAAUCAGAAUUUUCAAGGGAAAAGGCCUAAAGGUGCGGCAGAUAAGGGAUAAGGAUAGGGCUUCUAGAAGCCCAAAACCAAAAGGAAACAGGCCCUAACCCACGACAAGGAUAAGGAAAUGCUCUCCAACCUUUCUUUGUGUCUUCCAACGCUUAGGAAUCUUCUAAUUUUGCUGAAACUUAAGGCCAUUUAGGUUUGGGAAAGAUCAACCCAAAAUAGCAACUUCUAGGCUUAACUUUCCUACUUGAAGUAGGAAACCUUGUUUGAGUAGGAAUCUUCAUUCUUCUAGGAAUCCAUCUUCAACUAGGAAUCCCUCGUUGAUUAGGAAUCCUUCUUCAAUUAGGACUCUUUCUUGGACUAGGAAUCCUUCUUGGACUAGGAAUCCUCAAAUCUUCAAAUCUUCAAUUUCUUCCAAACCUUUUGUUCCAAGCAUGUGCUAUUCGCUCUAAGCUCACUUUUGCUCCAAAAAGCUCCAAUUUGCAUCAUUUUGUAUAAUAUGUCCUUAAAACCUGAAAACACAUGAAAAUAGCUUAAAAGACUACUUUAACUAAGAAAACACCAUGGAAAUGCAGAAGAACUAGCUAACUAAGGCGCAUAAAUAUGCUCCUAUCAAAUUCCCCCACACUUAGCUUUUGCUAGUCCUCGAGCAAAACAAAGAACAAAAGAAAAACAAAACGAAACAAAACAAACAAACAAAACUUGAACCUUCCAACGUUUACCUUAGGGAUUUCCAAUGCACAUGACAAAUUAAAAAUCAUCAUUCCCAUAGAUUUUAGUCAUCUUCACACUUAAACACAUACUUAAUCAUAGUCACUACUUACUAGUUCAUAUUUAACCAAUUAAAACGAUGUUUUGAAUGUAGUAACAUGCCUUAAAGAAUUUCUCAAUUCCUUACAAGAUAUGCACUCAAUUUUCACUCAGAUUUUCUAACUACACACCCUAUACUAUUUUCCAUGAAAUUUCUUUUUUUUUUCUUUUCUAACCCGUCCCACAUGAAAGACUUAGGCACUCACAUACAUCCCUUCCCCCACACUUGUUUUCUGCAAAAUAUUGAUCAAAAGGAAUUCAUAUUGAGUCAUGCUUUACUAUGCUUCAAGAACAAGGGUAUGGAUGGUCCUAAUCUAGGCUAGGUGAGGAUAAUGUGGGUUAACAAACAAUAUAGGCUAAAUAAGGCUCAAC
RNAcentral lists this long non-coding RNA (3646 nucleotides) under Malus domestica (apple). RNAcentral's name for it is "long non-coding RNA (MDOM_LNC018451)". The record is from RNAcentral. Lineage: Eukaryota; Viridiplantae; Streptophyta; Magnoliopsida; Rosales; Rosaceae.